UGGCGGACGGGUGAGUAAUGUCUGGGAAACUGCCUGAUGGAGGGGGAUAACUACUGGAAACGGUAGCUAAUACCGCAUAACGUCGCAAGACCAAAGAGGGGGACCUUCGGGCCUCUUGCCAUCAGAUGUGCCCAGAUGGGAUUAGCUUGUUGGUGGGGUAACGGCUCACCAAGGCGACGAUCCCUAGCUGGUCUGAGAGGAUGACCAGCCACACUGGAACUGAGACACGGUCCAGACUCCUACGGGAGGCAGCAUG
Molecule: ribosomal RNA, 256 nt
Filed under: uncultured bacterium
Lineage: Bacteria
Description: partial 16S ribosomal RNA
Rfam family: Bacterial small subunit ribosomal RNA
Source: RNAcentral